RNAcentral lists this transfer-messenger RNA (383 nucleotides) under Clostridia bacterium. It matches the Rfam family "transfer-messenger RNA". From Rfam's summary of the family: Bacterial tmRNA, also known as 10Sa RNA or SsrA, is named for its dual tRNA and mRNA-like properties. Its role is to liberate the mRNA from a stalled ribosome. Lineage: Bacteria; Bacillati; Bacillota; Clostridia. The record is from RNAcentral.
GGGGCAGUUUCAGUUUCGAUUGCGGCGGGGAGACGACGUAAGCAUACCAAAGGCUCGGCUUUGUAAAAACGGAAUUUUAAAUUUAAACGCAGAUAACAAAUCUGAAAAAGUAAUGGCUUUCCCUGCAAGGGCUAGCCUUGCUUGCGCAGCUUAAACUUUAGCUGUCCGCCGCGGCACUUUCUUUCGCCGAAGUGUUUGCGGCGCUUAAUCAGGCGGAACUUUAACGGCGGUUUAACCGGGCCCCGUUAAAGAACUUUUCGGUUUGCCCGUCCGUAUUGCCCGUUUACCGGCGUACGGCACGGAAAGAUAAUAGGUGAACUAAGUAUGUAGAAAGCGCGUCCGAACGACGUAAGACCGGGGUGCAAGUCCCCGCUGCUCCACCA